This 469-nucleotide ribosomal RNA is filed under the name uncultured bacterium. Its description in RNAcentral is "partial 16S ribosomal RNA". It matches the Rfam family "Bacterial small subunit ribosomal RNA", at positions 28 to 523 of the family's 1533-position model. The record is from RNAcentral.
AACGAACGCUGGCGGCAGGCUUAACACAUGCAAGUCGAACGCAUCCUUCGGGGUGAGUGGCAGACGGGUGAGUAACGCGUGGGAACGUGCCCUGCACUUCGGGAUAAGCCUGGGAAACUGGGUCUAAUACCGGAUAGAACUCCGGACUGCAUGGUCUGGGGUGGAAAGCUUUGGCGGCGUGGGAUGGGCGCGGGGCCGAUCAGCUUGUUGGUGGGGUGAUGGCGUACCAAGGCGACGACGGGUAGCCGGCCUGAGAGGGUGACCGGCCACACUGGGACUGAGAUACGGCCCAGACUCCUACGGGAGGCAGCAGUGGGGAAUAUUGCACAAUGGGCGCAAGCCUGAUGCAGCGACGCCGCGUGAGGGAUGACGGCCUUCGGGUUGUAAACCUCUUUCAGCAUCGACGAAGCGAAAGUGACGGUAGGUGCAGAAGAAGGACCGGCCAACUACGUGCCAGCAGCCGCAGUAA